Molecule: small nuclear RNA, 21 nt
Filed under: Arabidopsis thaliana (thale cress)
Lineage: Eukaryota; Viridiplantae; Streptophyta; Magnoliopsida; Brassicales; Brassicaceae
Description: snRNA_17466
Source: RNAcentral
AAAUAAAUCCUGCAAUUGGAA